CCUGUCCCUCGAGGAAUUUCAGGUGUGACUCUUGUGUCACAUGUGUCAGUAGGUACCAGAGAAGAGCGAGGUUAUGUGUAUGCUCCGUGGUCGGGCCUGUGAACAUCUCCCUGAAAAAGGCAAAGCUGAGACC
This is a small nucleolar RNA of Mus pahari (shrew mouse), 133 nucleotides long. RefSeq annotates it as small nucleolar RNA SNORA17. The transcript has a single exon. NCBI's taxonomy places the organism in Eukaryota, Metazoa, Chordata, Mammalia, Rodentia, Muridae. The record is from RefSeq and is a predicted model, not a curated record.